Molecule: small nuclear RNA, 114 nt
Organism: Pistacia vera
Lineage: Eukaryota; Viridiplantae; Streptophyta; Magnoliopsida; Sapindales; Anacardiaceae
Product: U5 spliceosomal RNA
Exons: 1
Source: RefSeq, a predicted model, not a curated record
AGCCGUGUUGUGAGCCACCAAGUGAACUAUUCUUUCGCCUUUUACUAAAGAAUACCGUGUGCUCGCCACUUGUAGCGGCAUACACCUAUUUUUGGAGGGGUUGUACUUAGGGAU